CCUUGGAUCCAGACUUUGAUUCUGGCUCAGGAUGAACGCUAGCUACAGGCUUAACACAUGCAAGUCGAGGGGAAACGACAUCGAAAGCUUGCUUUUGAUGGGCGUCGACCGGCGCACGGGUGAGUAACGCGUAUCCAACCUGCCCAUCACUUGGGGAUAACCUUGCGAAAGUAAGACUAAUACCCAAUGAUAUCUCUAGAAGACAUCUGAAAGAGAUUAAAGAUUUAUCGGUGAUGGAUGGGGAUGCGUCUGAUUAGCUUGUUGGCGGGGUAACGGCCCACCAAGGCGACGAUCAGUAGGGGUUCUGAGAGGAAGGUCCCCCACAUUGGAACUGAGACACGGUCCAAACUCCUACGGGAGGCAGCAGUGAGGAAUAUUGGUCAAUGGACGAGAGUCUGAACCAGCCAAGUAGCGUGCAGGAUGACGGCCCUAUGGGUUGUAAACUGCUUUUAUAAGGGAAUAAAGUGAGAGUCGUGACUCUUUUUGCAUGUACCUUAUGAAUAAGGACCGGCUAAUUCCGUGCCAGCAGCCGCGGUAAUACGGAAGGUCCGGGCGUUAUCCGGAUUUAUUGGGUUUAAAGGGAGCGUAGGCCGGAGAUUAAGCGUGUUGUGAAAUGUAGACGCUCAACGUCUGCACUGCAGCGCGAACUGGUUUCCUUGAGUACGCACAAAGUGGGCGGAAUUCGUGGUGUAGCGGUGAAAUGCUUAGAUAUCACGAAGAACUCCGAUUGCGAAGGCAGCUCACUGGAGCGCAACUGACGCUGAAGCUCGAAAGUGCGGGUAUCGAACAGGAUUAGAUACCCUGGUAGUCCGCACGGUAAACGAUGGAUGCCCGCUGUUGGUCUGAAUAGGUCAGCGGCCAAGCGAAAGCAUUAAGCAUCCCACCUGGGGAGUACGCCGGCAACGGUGCAACUCAAAGGAAUUGACGGA
This 929-nucleotide ribosomal RNA is filed under the name uncultured Bacteroidota bacterium. Its description in RNAcentral is "bacterial SSU rRNA". It matches the Rfam family "Bacterial small subunit ribosomal RNA", at positions 1 to 917 of the family's 1533-position model. Lineage: Bacteria; Pseudomonadati; Bacteroidota. The record is from RNAcentral.